RNAcentral lists this ribosomal RNA (733 nucleotides) under Amanita muscaria (fly agaric). RNAcentral describes it as "eukaryotic LSU rRNA". It matches the Rfam family "Eukaryotic large subunit ribosomal RNA", at positions 94 to 803 of the family's 3401-position model. Lineage: Eukaryota; Fungi; Basidiomycota; Agaricomycetes; Agaricales; Amanitaceae. The record is from RNAcentral.
UGAAGAGGGAAGAGCUCAAAUUUAAAAUCUGGCAGUGUUUUGCUGUCCGAGUUGUAAUCUAGAGAAGUGCUGCCCGUGCUGGACCAUGUACAAGUCUCCUGGAAUGGAGCGUCACAGAGGGUGAGAAUCCCGUCUUUGACAUGGACUACCAGUGCAUUUGUGGUGUGCUCUCAAAGAGUCGAGUUGUUUGGGAAUGCAGCUCUAAAUGGGUGGUAAACUCCAUCUAAAGCUAAAUAUUGGCGAGAGACCGAUAGCGAACAAGUACCGUGAGGGAAAGAUGAAAAGAACUUUGGAAAGAGAGUUAAACAGUAUGUGAAAUUGUUGAAAGGGAAACGCUUAAAGUCAGUCGUGUCGGCCAGGGAUCAACUCAGCUUUCUCUGCUGGGUGUACUUCCUGAUCUGAUGGGCCAACAUCAGUUUUGACUGCUGGAGAAGGGCAGAGGGAAUGUGGCACCUUCGGGUGUGUUAUAGCUCUCUGUCAGAUGCAGUGGUUGGGACUGAGGAAAGCAGCAUGCCGCAAGGCCGGGUCGUUUCGACCACGUUCAUUGCUGAGGAUGUUGGCAUAAUGGCUUUAAUCGACCCGUCUUGAAACACGGACCAAGGAGUCUAACAUGCCUGCGAGUGUUUGGGUGGCAAACCCGAGUGCGGAAUGAAAGUGAAAGGUUGAGAUCCCUGUCAUGGGGAGCAUCGAUGCCCGGACCUGAGCUUUUAGCAAAGGAUCUGCGGUAGAGCAU